GCAUCUGUGCAUGCAGCAUAUCAAUAAGCGGAGGAAAAGAAACUAACAAGGAUUCCCCUAGUAGCGGCGAGUGAAGCGGGAAGAGCUCAAAUUUGAAAUCUUAAAGGGUUUCCCUUUACGAAUUGUAGUUUAAAGAAGUGUUUUCUGUUGAGGUUUUGGUAAAAGUUCUUUGGAAUAGGACAUCAUAGAGGGUGAGAAUCCCGUAUUUGACCUUUACUUUCAACUUUGUGAUACACUUUCAAAGAGUCGGAUUGUUUGGGAAUGCAGUCCAAAAUGGGUGGUAAAUCUCAUCUAAAGCUAAAUAUUGGCGAGAGACCGAUAGCGAACAAGUACCGUGAGGGAAAGAUGAAAAGAACUUUGAAAAGAGAGUUAAACAGUACGUGAAAUUGUCAAAAGGGAAGCGUUUGACACCAGUGUUGUUUUUCUGAAAAUCAAUUAAAGAACUGUUUAUGCUAAGUUGUUUAGACUUUAUCAGCUAACUGUUUAGUUUUGAGCUUUUCUUUAAUGCACUUUUCAGUUAACAAGUCAGCAUCAAUUUCUUUUGCUGUAAAAAAGCUUGAGGAAGGUGGCUUGAGAUUCGUCUUAAGUGUUUAUAGCCUCUUGCCUAUGCAGUCGGAGAGAUUGAGGUCUGCAGCGUAGAUCCUUCGGGGCUAAAUGCAUUUGUGCUAAGUUAUAACAUUUUAUAGACAACUUGUUGACUAUGACUUGUCUUGUAGCUUACUCGCUUAUGUUAUUUUACCUACGCUUAGGAUGUUGACAGCAGUAUAGACUGU
RNAcentral lists this ribosomal RNA (773 nucleotides) under uncultured Neocallimastigales. RNAcentral's name for it is "partial large subunit ribosomal RNA". It matches the Rfam family "Eukaryotic large subunit ribosomal RNA", at positions 24 to 637 of the family's 3401-position model. The record is from RNAcentral. Lineage: Eukaryota; Fungi; Neocallimastigomycota; Neocallimastigomycetes; Neocallimastigales.